Anas platyrhynchos (mallard) is the source of this 3393-nucleotide long non-coding RNA. RefSeq lists it as uncharacterized. NCBI's taxonomy places the organism in Eukaryota, Metazoa, Chordata, Aves, Anseriformes, Anatidae. The record is from RefSeq and is a predicted model, not a curated record.
CCCCAUCUGGCCCUGACGAGGUGGGUGUGUGAGGUGGCACCUAGAAACAAGAAGAAAGGCCUGCUGCCACUUGUAUGGUUUCCUGAGGGUUGCCUCAUGUUUUUUGGCUCUCCUGCAGUUACAAAGGGGCACCUGAAGCCAGAUGAGGGCCGGGAAAGGCCUGACACUGUGCACCCCCUUGAACAUAAGGAUGACGGCUAGAACAACCCCCUUGCCUGGAUUCUUGGGCACCACACAGCAUCCAAGCAUGUGUUUGUGCUUUGGAUCCUUUACAGGAGGCCCAGAAAUGUGACUGUCUUGCACCUGAUCUAAAGCUUCCCCAGCUGAGUCUGAAAGCGGUCAAAGUUUGGAACAGGUUGCCCAGAUGUGCUGUGGAAUCUGACUCCCUGGAGAUAUUUAAAAUUCAAAUGGACAAGUACCUGAAGAAACUGAUUGAAGAGGAACUGAUGUGAAUUAGGGACAGGAGUAGAUGAUCUCCAGAGGUCCCUUCUAGCCUAUAAUAUUCUGCGAUUCUUAGAAUCACAGAAUGCAACAGGAUAACAUUUAUGAACAUUUCUGAAUAAUUCUAAAAAGAUGUUACCUAAAAUGAGUAAGGGAAAUUCAUCACAACUGCUUAACCCCUGGGUCUGUUCUAAAAUGUACAGGUCCAGUUUUCAGAAAUGUUUUGUUGUUCUUUCUUGUAGGUAUUAAAGCAUGUAUAUGGUCGUAUGGAUUCACUGAGACAAUUCUAAAGAUGAGAAUGGAGGCCCUGGCAUGUGAGUCAGGCUAGUUUAUUCAGUGCAGAUUUUUCUGCUAGAGUAAUCAGAACUACCUUAGUAGUUAGAGUUACAAAUGAUUGCACUGAUUAUUGAUUAAAUGUGGAAGAGCAUAAUUACUUCACAGAACAUGAUUUAUUUGAUAUUAGUGGUUGAAAACCACUACAGAUCUGCAGGGGGAUUAAAAAGGAUAUAUUCAAUAUACAUGGCAUGUGAUUUCUGGGCCAAUUAACACUGAGCGUUUUUGUGGGACGGAAGCUAUACACACACACAAUUGUAAAUAAAGUCAUUUGUUUUCAUUCCAUUGUACAUAUUUAUAAUGAAGAUGUUAAAAACAUGAAGGAAAUAAAAAGGUGUAGAAGCAGGGGCAGGAGAUCAUCUGGAAGGAUGGAGGCACUGUCUAAGUAUUCAUAGGGAUAGGAUUAGGAAGGCCAAAGCCCACUUGGAGUUGAACCUAGCAAGGGAUAUAGAAGGGUGACGUGAAAGGUGUACUACAGGUUUAUCAGAAGCAGAGGGAAUAUCAGGGAAAUGUGAGCCCACUGCUGAAUGGAUCAGGGGACAGAGUGACAGAACAUAUAAAAAAAAAAGGCUGAGGUACUCAAUGUCUUCUCUGCCUUAGUCCUGCCUAGUGGAGUUUCAGGUCUUGAGACCAGUGGAAAAAUAUGGGAUAAGGAGGAUAUGCCCUCAAUGGAGGAAGAUCAAGUUAGAGAAUAUCCAAACAAAUUGGGCAUACAUAAAUUAAUGGGAUGCACUCACUGGGGUUGAGUGAAGUGGUUGAUCUCACUGAGAAGCCAUUCUAGACUGUUUUUGAAAGAUCAUGGUGAGAUAUUUCAGAGGGCUAGAAGAAAUCAAAUAUCAUUCUAUGUGAUAAGUGAUGGAUAACCUGAUAAAAGCAGCUGGAUAAACUGAAAUACAAAUGUUAAAUAUUUUUAGGGUUAAAUUAAGAGAUAUGGUAUCACUUUCUUUAAGUCAUGCGUUGCGUCCUCAUUCUUGGACUCUUAAACUUAAAUGUACAUUAUCUUUCCAAAAGGUCUCAUUUUCUGUUAGGUUUGCUCAAAUUACAAUUCUAAUUAUGAUACCUGCUAAUUGAAGGUAAUUCAUUACAGUUGACACUGUAUGAAUGUUGAUGUGCAUUUCCUGCCUCAUAUUUGGUAUCUGUGACAAGGAAUGUGCAUGUAUGCAUAUAUAUAUAUGGCACAUACCAAACUUUGCCUUUUAAAAUUGUGUAUUUGAUUGUAAAUUUGUUUGUUGUAUGUAUGUAUGAUCAAAAAAGGGAAUGACACACACAACACAUUUUCUAGCAAUUUCUGUAUUAGCUAGGAUUGUAAGAAAUUUCUUGGCAGUCAACAAGUCAAUUUGCACUUUGCUUCAUGAUACAAAAUAUAAGGAUAACUAUGUAAAUAUGUAUGGUUUCCUAUAAAUCAAGCUGCUUUGGAAUUAAGUGGAAGGAAUAUUACUGCAUUGAUUACCAAGUAUAUGUUGUGUGGCUACUGUAAACUAUAUAAAUACUUAGAAAACUGUUCUGAUUUGCACCUGGUUGGCUUUCCAAUCUGAAAUCUGUCUUAAUCAGGUGCUUUGAUUGUUAUAUGACUAUUAUUUAUUACCUUCUGUUUGUGGUCUAUCACCUUCAGGAAUGCUUGAAGUCUCUCCAUUGUAUUUCAGUAUGCAAGAAAACAAGUGUAAGCACCAUGAGUAGCAUAUAUUUGAUCUGAGUAGAUACGUUGAGAAUAUUGUGUUUGCACUCAGUAUUUGCAAGCUUCAGCAACAGUUAUACCACUGAGUACUUUGGGAGUCAGGGGGAGUCUUCAGAUGAAAAUCUCCCAAAAUCACAAGAUUCUCAGUGAAGAUAUCUUUUAAAACAACUGAAAACUUCUCUUUUAAAUCCGCGUUUCUUGUAUCAUUGUUAGCGGUACUGGGAAUCACCAUAUGCAGUUGCAUUUCAGAUGACCUUAGAGAGUAUGUUGUGAAAGGUUUAAUUCCUUCUGCCUUUGAGCAUAUUUUAGUGUAUAUUCUAAAAUAGCUUUCAGCUCUAGAUAUCUUUGACAAUCUCUUUCCAUACAUGAAACUACAAAUAGCUUCAACAUUUAUUCCACACACUACAUAACUACAGUAGAAGAAAUCCUAGUUAUUUAAAACAACUUAACAUUAAUAUUGAAUUUUAUUUAGGUGAAUUAAGAGAAACUAUGAGACUAGGUGAUUAAAGGAAAAAAGCAUAGGCUUUAAUGCAUACUGUAGUGUCCCCAGGUAGGGAGACUUUCAGGAGCUGACAGUUAAGUGUGCGAAGUUGGAAGUAACGUUAUUUUGGAAUGUCAGAUUCAGGUGUUUUUGGACAGCAUCAGUCUAAACAGAUCAAGCUGUUUAUGAUCAUAACUGAACUUUCUAGUGUUUUUUUAAAGUGCAAUUUUUUUUUUUUGCAGAUGUCACUGUUGUGAAGAUACUUGUUUUAGAAACAAAUUAUGCAAAUAACAACUUACCUUUAAUCCACAAUGAGUGUGACUUGAAAUAAAUUUUGGAAAGAUUCUUGAUAAAAUUGUUUCUUUUGUGAACUGUGAGAACCUGAUUCUACUAUAAACAAACAAGCAAAAAAUAAACUGAAUUGACUUCAAAACUUAAAGAUAAAGCAUUAUUUGAAGUAUGA